AUUAACGCUAGCGGCGUGCUUAACACAUGCAAGUCGAACGAUUAAAGCUCACUUCGGUGAGUGUAUAGAGUGGCGAACGGGUGAGUAACACGUGGGAAACCUGCCCCUUUCUUCGGGAUAACUUCGGGAAACCGUUGCUAAUACCGGAUACUCCGGGAUGGUCGCAUGGCCGACCCGGGAAAGCUUUAUGUGGAAAGGGAUGGUCCCGCGGCCCAUUAGCUUGUUGGUGGGGUAAUGGCCUACCAAGGCAAUGAUGGGUAGCCG
This 264-nucleotide ribosomal RNA is filed under the name uncultured bacterium. Its description in RNAcentral is "partial 16S ribosomal RNA". It matches the Rfam family "Bacterial small subunit ribosomal RNA", at positions 29 to 289 of the family's 1533-position model. The record is from RNAcentral.